UACGAAGGGGGCUAGCGUUGCUCGGAAUUACUGGGCGUAAAGCGCACGUAGGCGGUCUUUUAAGUCGGUGGUGAAAUCCUGGAGCUCAACUCCAGAACUGCCUUCGAUACUGGAAGACUUGAGUCCGGGAGAGGUGAGUGGAACUGCGAGUGUAGAGGUGAAAUUCGUAGAUAUUCGCAAGAACACCAGUGGCGAAGGCGGCUCACUGGCCCGGUACUGACGCUGAGACGCGAAAGCGUGGGGAGCGAACAGG
RNAcentral lists this ribosomal RNA (253 nucleotides) under uncultured bacterium. Its description in RNAcentral is "partial 16S ribosomal RNA". It matches the Rfam family "Bacterial small subunit ribosomal RNA", at positions 524 to 776 of the family's 1533-position model. The record is from RNAcentral.